GGUUAAGUGACUAAGCGUACACGGUGGAUGCCUUGGCAGUCAGAGGCGAUGAAAGACGUAGUAACUUGCGAUAAGCCCAGAUUAGGUAGUAACAACCAUUUGAGUCUGGGAUUUCUGAAUGGGGAAACCCACGUGCAUAAGCACGUAUCCUUACCUGAAUACAUAGGGUAAGGAGGCGAACCGGGGGAACUGAAACAUCUAAGUACCCCGAGGAAAAGAAAUCAACCGAGAUUCCGAAAGUAGCGGCGAGCGAAAUUGGACUAGCCCUUAAGCUUUACACGCGUUAGACGAACGGUCUGGAAAGUCCGACGAUACAGGGUGAUAGUCCCGUAGUUGACGACGUGUGUUCAGUGAAAUCGAGUAGGGCGGGACACGUGAUAUCCUGUCUGAAUAUGGGGGGACCAUCCUCCAAGGCUAAAUACUACUGACUGACCGAUAGUGAACCAGUACCGUGAGGGAAAGGCGAAAAGAACCCCUGUGAGGGGAGUGAAAUAGAACCUGAAACCGUGUACGUACAAGCAGUAGGAGCAGGCUUUGUCCUGUGACUGCGUACCUUUUGUAUAAUGGGUCAGCGACUUAUAUUCAGUGGCAAGGUUAACCAUCUAGGGGAGCCGUAGGGAAACCGAGUCUUAACUGGGCGUUCAGUCUCUGGAUAUAGACCCGAAACCAGGUGAUCUAGCCAUGGGCAGGUUGAAGGUUGAGUAACAUCAACUGGAGGACCGAACCGACUAAUGUUGAAAAAUUAGCGGAUGACUUGUGGCUAGGGGUGAAAGGCCAAUCAAACCUGGAGAUAGCUGGUUCUCCCCGAAAGCUAUUUAGGUAGCGCCUCGGACGAAUACUACUGGGGGUAGAGCACUGUUAAGGCUAGGGGGUCAUCCCGACUUACCAACCCUUUGCAAACUCCGAAUACCAGUAAGUACUAUCCGGGAGACACACGGCGGGUGCUAACGUCCGUCGUGGAGAGGGAAACAACCCAGACCGCCAGCUAAGGUCCCAAAUUACUACUAAGUGGGAAACGAUGUGGGAAGGCUCAGACAGCCAGGAUGUUGGCUUAGAAGCAGCCAUCAUUUAAAGAAAGCGUAAUAGCUCACUGGUCGAGUCGGCCUGCGCGGAAGAUGUAACGGGGCUAAGUAGUAAACCGAAGCUGCGGCAAUAUACUUUUGUAUAUUGGGUAGGGGAGCGUUCUGUAAGCGGUUGAAGGUGUGUGGUAACGCAUGCUGGACGUAUCAGAAGUGCGAAUGCUGACAUGAGUAACGAUAAAGGGGGUGAAAAACCUCCUCGCCGGAAGACCAAGGGUUCCUGUCCAACGUUAAUCGGGGCAGGGUAAGUCGACCCCUAAGGCGAGGCCGAAAGGCGUAGUCGAUGGGAAACGGGUUAAUAUUCCCGUACUUCUUACAAUUGCGAUGGGGGGACGGAGAAGGCUAGGUGGGCCUGGCGACGGUUGUCCAGGUUCAAGUGCGUAGGCUUGAGAGUUAGGUAAAUCCGGCUCUCUUUAAGGCUGAGACACGACGUCGAGCCACUACGGUGGUGAAGUCAUUGAUGCCAUGCUUCCAGGAAAAGCCUCUAAGCUUCAGAUUGUAAGGAAUCGUACCCCAAACCGACACAGGUGGUCGGGUAGAGAAUACCAAGGCGCUUGAGAGAACUCGGGUGAAGGAACUAGGCAAAAUGGUACCGUAACUUCGGGAGAAGGUACGCUCUCGACGGUGAAGUCCCUUGCGGAUGGAGCUAUUGAGAGUCGCAGAUACCAGGUGGCUGCAACUGUUUAUUAAAAACACAGCACUGUGCAAAAUCGUAAGAUGACGUAUACGGUGUGACGCCUGCCCGGUGCCGGAAGGUUAAUUGAUGGGGUUAGACUUCGGUCGAAGCUCUUGAUCGAAGCCCCGGUAAACGGCGGCCGUAACUAUAACGGUCCUAAGGUAGCGAAAUUCCUUGUCGGGUAAGUUCCGACCUGCACGAAUGGCGUAAUGAUGGCCACGCUGUCUCCACCCGAGACUCAGUGAAAUUGAAAUCGCUGUGAAGAUGCAGUGUACCCGCGGCUAGACGGAAAGACCCCGUGAACCUUUACUACAGCUUGGCACUGAACAUUGACCCUACAUGUGUAGGAUAGGUAAUCAAACCUGGAGAUAGCUGGUUCUCCCCGAAAGCUAUUUAGGUAGCGCCUCGGACGAAUACUACUGGGGGUAGAGCACUGUUAAGGCUAGGGGGUCAUCCCGACUUACCAACCCUUUGCAAACUCCGAAUACCAGUAAGUACUAUCCGGGAGACACACGGCGGGUGCUAACGUCCGUCGUGGAGAGGGAAACAACCCAGACCGCCAGCUAAGGUCCCAAAUUACUACUAAGUGGGAAACGAUGUGGGAAGGCUCAGACAGCCAGGAUGUUGGCUUAGAAGCAGCCAUCAUUUAAAGAAAGCGUAAUAGCUCACUGGUCGAGUCGGCCUGCGCGGAAGAUGUAACGGGGCUAAGUAGUAAACCGAAGCUGCGGCAAUGUGCUUUUGCACAUUGGGUAGGGGAGCGUUCUGUAAGCGGUUGAAGGUGUGUGGUAACGCAUGCUGGACGUAUCAGAAGUGCGAAUGCUGACAUGAGUAACGAUAAAGGGGGUGAAAAACCUCCUCGCCGGAAGACCAAGGGUUCCUGUCCAACGUUAAUCGGGGCAGGGUAAGUCGACCCCUAAGGCGAGGCCGAAAGGCGUAGUCGAUGGGAAACGGGUUAAUAUUCCCGUACUUCUUACAAUUGCGAUGGGGGGACGGAGAAGGCUAGGUGGGCCUGGCGACGGUUGUCCAGGUUCAAGUGCGUAGGCUUGAGAGUUAGGUAAAUCCGGCUCUCUUUAAGGCUGAGACACGACGUCGAGCCACUACGGUGGUGAAGUCAUUGAUGCCAUGCUUCCAGGAAAAGCCUCUAAGCUUCAGAUUGUAAGGAAUCGUACCCCAAACCGACACAGGUGGUCGGGUAGAGAAUACCAAGGCGCUUGAGAGAACUCGGGUGAAGGAACUAGGCAAAAUGGUACCGUAACUUCGGGAGAAGGUACGCUCUCGACGGUGAAGUCCCUCGCGGAUGGAGCUAUUGAGAGUCGCAGAUACCAGGUGGCUGCAACUGUUUAUUAAAAACACAGCACUGUGCAAAAUCGUAAGAUGACGUAUACGGUGUGACGCCUGCCCGGUGCCGGAAGGUUAAUUGAUGGGGUUAGACUUCGGUCGAAGCUCUUGAUCGAAGCCCCGGUAAACGGCGGCCGUAACUAUAACGGUCCUAAGGUAGCGAAAUUCCUUGUCGGGUAAGUUCCGACCUGCACGAAUGGCGUAAUGAUGGCCACGCUGUCUCCACCCGAGACUCAGUGAAAUUGAAAUCGCUGUGAAGAUGCAGUGUACCCGCGGCUAGACGGAAAGACCCCGUGAACCUUUACUACAGCUUGGCACUGAACAUUGACCCUACAUGUGUAGGAUAGGUGGGAGGCUUUGAAGCACGUACGCCAGUAUGUGUGGAGCCGUCCUUGAAAUACCACCCUUGUAGUGUUGAUGUUCUAACGUCGACCCCUUAUCGGGGUUGCGGACAGUGCCUGGUGGGUAGUUUGACUGGGGCGGUCUCCUCCCAAAGAGUAACGGAGGAGCACGAAGGUGGGCUAAUCACGGUUGGACAUCGUGAGGUUAGUGCAAUGGCAUAAGCCCGCUUGACUGCGAGAAUGACAAUUCGAGCAGGUGCGAAAGCAGGUCAUAGUGAUCCGGUGGUUCUGAAUGGAAGGGCCAUCGCUCAACGGAUAAAAGGUACUCCGGGGAUAACAGGCUGAUACCGCCCAAGAGUUCAUAUCGACGGCGGUGUUUGGCACCUCGAUGUCGGCUCAUCACAUCCUGGGGCUGAAGUCGGUCCCAAGGGUAUGGCUGUUCGCCAUUUAAAGUGGUACGCGAGCUGGGUUUAGAACGUCGUGAGACAGUUCGGUCCCUAUCUGCCGUGGGCGUUGGAAGAUUGAAGGGGGCUGCUCCUAGUACGAGAGGACCGGAGUGGACGAACCUCUGGUGUUCGGGUUGUGUCGCCAGACGCAUUGCCCGGUAGCUAAGUUCGGAAUCGAUAACCGCUGAAAGCAUCUAAGCGGGAAGCGAGCCCUGAGAUGAGUCUUCCCUGAUACUUUAAGUAUCCUAAAGGGUUGUCGGAGACUACGACGUUGAUAGGUCAGGUGUGUAAGUGCUGUGAGGCAUUGAGCUAACUGAUACUAAUUGCCCGUGAGGCUUAACCAU
This 4224-nucleotide ribosomal RNA is filed under the name Vibrio parahaemolyticus. Its description in RNAcentral is "bacterial LSU rRNA". The stretch from base 1834 to 4224 matches the Rfam family "Bacterial large subunit ribosomal RNA". The record is from RNAcentral. Lineage: Bacteria; Pseudomonadati; Pseudomonadota; Gammaproteobacteria; Vibrionales; Vibrionaceae.